RNAcentral lists this ribosomal RNA (497 nucleotides) under uncultured bacterium. RNAcentral's name for it is "partial 16S ribosomal RNA". It matches the Rfam family "Bacterial small subunit ribosomal RNA", at positions 28 to 507 of the family's 1533-position model. The record is from RNAcentral.
GAUGAACGCUGGCGGCGUGCCUAAUACAUGCAAGUCGAGCGAACAGAUGAGGAGCUUGCUCCUCUGACGUUAGCGGCGGACGGGUGAGUAACACGUGGAUAACCUACCUAUAAGACUGGGAUAACUACGGGAAACCGGAGCUAAUACCGGAUAAUAUAUUGAACCGCAUGGUUCCAUAGUGAAAGACGGUUUUGCUGUCACUUAUAGAUGGAUCCGCGCCGCAUUCGCUAGUUGGUAAGGUAACGGCUUACCAAGGCAACGAUGCGUAGCCGACCUGAGAGGGUGAUCGGCCACACUGGAACUGAGACACGGUCCAGACUCCUACGGGAGGCAGCAGUAGGGAAUCCUCCGCAAUGGGCGAAAGCCUGACGGAGCAACGCCGCGUGAGUGAUGAAGGUCUUCGGAUCGUAAAACUCUGUUAUUAGGGAAGAACAAAUGUGUAAGUAACUAUGCACGUCUUGACGGUACCUAAUCAGAAAGCCACGGCUAACUACGUG